CCUACGGGAGGCAGCAGUGGGGAAUAUUGGACAAUGGGGGGAACCCUGAUCCAGCGACGCCGCGUGAGUGAAGAAGUAUUUCGGUAUGUAAAGCUCUAUCAGCAGGGAAGAAAGAAAUGACGGUACCUGACUAAGAAGCCCCGGCUAACUACGUGCCAGCAGCCGCGGUAAUACGUAGGGGGCAAGCGUUAUCCGGAGUACGGGGGGUAAAGGGAGCGUAGACGGCGAUGCAAGUCUGAAGUGAAAGGCGGGGGCCCAACCCCCGGACUGCUUUGGAAACUGUAUGGCUGGAGUGCAGGAGAGGUAAGUGGAAUUCCUAGUGUAGCGGUGAAAUGCGUAGAUAUUAGGAGGAACACCAGUGGCGAAGGCGGCUUACUGGACUGUAACUGACGUUGAGGCUCGAAAGCGUGGGGAGCAAACAGGAUUAGAUACCCGAGUAGUC
This 442-nucleotide ribosomal RNA is filed under the name uncultured bacterium. Its description in RNAcentral is "partial 16S ribosomal RNA". It matches the Rfam family "Bacterial small subunit ribosomal RNA", at positions 338 to 795 of the family's 1533-position model. The record is from RNAcentral.